UGGGGAAUCUUGCGCAAUGGGCGAAAGCCUGACGCAGCCAUGCCGCGUGAAUGAUGACGGUCUUAGGGUUGUAAAAUUCUUUCACCGGGGACGAUAAUGACGGUACGCGGAGAAGAAGCCCCGGCUAACUUCGUGCCAGCAGCCGCGGUAAUACGAAGGGGGCUAGCGUUGCUCGGAAUUACUGGGCGUAAAGGGCGCGUAGGCGGAUCGUUAAGUCAGAGGUGAAAGCCCAGGGCGCAACACUGGAACUGCCUUUGAUACUGGCGAGCUUGAGUAUGAGAGAUGUAGGUGGAACUCCGAGUGUAGAGGUGAAAUUCGUAGAUAUUCGGAAGAACACCAGUGGCGAAGGCGACAUACUGGCUCAUUACUGACGCUGAGGCGCGAAAGCGUGGGGAGCAAACAGG
Molecule: ribosomal RNA, 404 nt
Filed under: bacterium
Lineage: Bacteria
Description: partial 16S ribosomal RNA
Rfam family: Bacterial small subunit ribosomal RNA
Source: RNAcentral